CGCCGCGUGAGUGAUGAAGGCUUUCGGGUCGUAAAACUCUGUUGUUAGGGAAGAACAAGUACAAGAGUAACUGCUUGUACCUUGACGGUACCUAACCAGAAAGCCACGGCUAACUACGUGCCAGCAGCCGCGGUAAUACGUAGGUGGCAAGCGUUAUCCGGAAUUAUUGGGCGUAAAGCGCGCGCAGGCGGUUUCUUAAGUCUGAUGUGAAAGCCCACGGCUCAACCGUGGAGGGUCAUUGGAAACUGGGGAACUUGAGUGCAGAAGAGAAAAGCGGAAUUCCACGUGUAGCGGUGAAAUGCGUAGAGAUGUGGAGGAACACCAGUGGCGAAGGCGGCUUUUUGGUCUGUAACUGACGCUGAGGCGCGAAAGCGUGGGGAGCAAACAGGAUUAGAUACCCUGGUAGUCCACGCCGUAAACGAUGAGUGCUAAGUGUUAGAGGGUUUCCGCCCUUUAGUGCUGCAGCUAACGCAUUAAGCACUCC
Molecule: ribosomal RNA, 484 nt
Filed under: Priestia megaterium
Lineage: Bacteria; Bacillati; Bacillota; Bacilli; Caryophanales; Bacillaceae
Description: bacterial SSU rRNA
Rfam family: Bacterial small subunit ribosomal RNA
Source: RNAcentral